UCCUGCUUGCCUAGCAUAAACUUAAAGGGCUUGUUUCUGUCCCGGGAGGAAUCAAAUUUCUUUCCAUCUUCAAGCAUCCCUGUGUAGUUCACCACACUGGUCUC
Myotis davidii is the source of this 104-nucleotide long non-coding RNA. RefSeq lists it as uncharacterized. The record is from RefSeq and is a predicted model, not a curated record. NCBI's taxonomy places the organism in Eukaryota, Metazoa, Chordata, Mammalia, Chiroptera, Vespertilionidae. The transcript is spliced from 3 exons.